Long non-coding RNA from Mirounga angustirostris (Northern elephant seal), 428 nucleotides. RefSeq lists it as uncharacterized. NCBI's taxonomy places the organism in Eukaryota, Metazoa, Chordata, Mammalia, Carnivora, Phocidae. The record is from RefSeq and is a predicted model, not a curated record. The transcript is spliced from 3 exons.
UCCGCUCAGUAUGGCAUGACGGAGAUACCUACAGCAUGUGUGCUGAAAAGAUCUUCUGGGACCUGGGAAGUAAUCUAAUGUCAUUCUUCUCCUGUGGCGAAGACGAAUAACAAUAUUUAGCUGGAAUUCUAUGCAGGAACAUAGAGACGUUGUGAUUAGAGCGACCAUUAUGAAUUGUUCCAUCAUUCAAAGCGGUUCUUCUGCCAGAGCAGGUGUCUGGAGUCGUGGCAGGGAGCCCAGAGUCAAGGUGCUCAUUUUUGAUUUGUACCUGGUGUGUCAUUUUCUGCACUUAAGGUCGGCCGCACUCACCAGGAUAGCCUUGGAGUCCAUAGGCUUGCCACUUGCUGACUGGCUGAAGUCCUGCUCUAUGUGCAUCGUGGUCACUGACGGAAGAUACACUCAGCUGAGAUCUAACCACCUGGCAGGAA